UAACCAUGGUGUGGGCAGAAGCGACUCCAUGCUUCACGAAAAGAUUCAAUAUUCUUUUGAUAAAAAUUAGAAAUCUCAGCUCUUAAUUC
RNAcentral lists this small nucleolar RNA (89 nucleotides) under Ricinus communis (castor bean). Its description in RNAcentral is "Plant small nucleolar RNA R71". It matches the Rfam family "Plant small nucleolar RNA R71". Rfam says of the family: R71 is a member of the C/D box family of snoRNAs containing the C (UGAUGA) and D (CUGA) box motifs. Lineage: Eukaryota; Viridiplantae; Streptophyta; Magnoliopsida; Malpighiales; Euphorbiaceae. The record is from Rfam by way of RNAcentral.